Molecule: ribosomal RNA, 253 nt
Filed under: uncultured bacterium
Lineage: Bacteria
Description: partial 16S ribosomal RNA
Rfam family: Bacterial small subunit ribosomal RNA
Source: RNAcentral
UACGUAGGGGGCAAGCGUUGUCCGGAAUCAUUGGGCGUAAAGCGCGUGUAGGCGGCUUGGUAAGUCUGCUCUGAAAGCCCGGGGCUCAACCCCGGGAGGCGGGUGGAUACUGUCAAGCUCGAGUCCGGGAGGGGAGAGCGGAAUUCCUAGUGUAGCGGUGAAAUGCGCAGAUAUUAGGAGGAACACCGGUGGCGAAGGCGCCACUCUGGGCCGAAACUGACGCUGAGGAGCGAAAGCAUGGGUAGCAAACAGG